This 497-nucleotide ribosomal RNA is filed under the name uncultured bacterium. Its description in RNAcentral is "partial 16S ribosomal RNA". It matches the Rfam family "Bacterial small subunit ribosomal RNA", at positions 28 to 507 of the family's 1533-position model. The record is from RNAcentral.
GAUGAACGCUGGCGGCGUGCCUAAUACAUGCAAGUCGAGCGAACGGACGAGAAGCUUGCUUCACUGAUGUUAGCGGCGGACGGGUGAGUAACACGUGGAUAACCUACCUAUAAGACUGGGAUAACUUCGGGAAACCGGAGCUAAUACCGGAUAAUAUUUUGAACCGCAUGGUUCAAAAGUGAAAGACGGUCUUGCUGUCCCUUAUAGCUGGAUCCGCGCUGCAUUAGUUAGUUGGUAAGGUAACGGCUUACCAAGGCAACGAUGCAUAGCCGACCUGAGAGGGUGAUCGGCCACACUGGAACUGAGACACGGUCCAGACUCCUACAGGAGGCAGCAGUAGGGAAUCUUCCGCAAUGGGCGAAAGCCUGACGGAGCGACGCCGCGUGAGUGAUGAAGGGCUGCGGAUCGUAAAACUCUGUUAUUAGGGAAGAACAUAUGUGUAAGUAACUGUGCACAUCGUGACGGUACCUAAUCAGAAAGCCACGGCUAACUACGUG